RNAcentral lists this ribosomal RNA (234 nucleotides) under uncultured bacterium. Its description in RNAcentral is "partial 16S ribosomal RNA". It matches the Rfam family "Bacterial small subunit ribosomal RNA", at positions 118 to 350 of the family's 1533-position model. The record is from RNAcentral.
UGAGUAACCUGCCCUUAACUCUGGGAUAAGCCUGGGAAACUGGGUCUAAUACCGGAUAUGACUCCUCAUCGCAUGGGUGGGGGGUGGAAAGCUUUUUGUGGUUUUGGAUGGACUCGCGGCCUAUCAGCUUGUUGGUGAGGUGAUGGCCUACCAAGGCGACGACGGGUAGCCGGCCUGAGAGGGCGACCGGCCACACUGGGACUGAGACACGGCCCAGACUCCUACGGGAGGCAA